Molecule: long non-coding RNA, 754 nt
Organism: Daphnia pulex (common water flea)
Lineage: Eukaryota; Metazoa; Arthropoda; Branchiopoda; Diplostraca; Daphniidae
Exons: 3
Source: RefSeq, a predicted model, not a curated record
AAUCCUAAUGCACAGUCAAUCACAGACAGACAUUACACGUCGUAACUUUCAUAAGUUACUUAAAAAGUUUAACAACGGACAUUGGGGAUAACAAAUAAUUUCAGCUGAAGUUUUCAUGUACCUGGUCAACUAGGUGAUCUUGACAAUAGAAAUGAAAUGGUUUAAUCCAAUAAUGCGAACUCACAACCUAUGUCUUCUGAAGAAAAGUCAUUUCUGUUGCAGUUGUUAAUCUUCAAGGUAUUGAUGCCUUCGCCAGAUCCAAUUCUUUGUUGCUGAUGAGAGAGAGAAUUCAUCAUUUUGUGUGCAACAGUUCUUUCUGCAUCAAGUUUAACUGGUCGUUCCUUGAUGGUGGUGUCGUGUUAACAAAUUUGCAUCAUCAAUCAUCAUAUAUUGUUAAAUUGUCAUUGUGUCUGUGCAUAGUUAUCGUUUAAAAGUUAAGAAGCAACAAAAACAAAUAUGGGAUGUUCAUGUCAAACAAAUAAUAAACAUGUUUUCGGGAUUGGGAAAGGAAAGUGGAGGAUGUUGGAGGGAAGGGUGAUUUAAGUUUGGAUAAAAAAUCAGUUAAUCCAUAACCCCACAAACAUAUCCCUACCAAUUAAUCUUAUUCAAACCCCACAAACUUAUACCUUCCAAUUCUUCAAACCCCACAAACAAACACCUUUCAAUCCCCAAAUUUAUACCCUAAACCACAUAAACCAAUAUUAAGCCCAAUCAAUGUAAUGUCAAUAAUGAAUUAAAAAACUUGUAUUUUAAA